Molecule: ribosomal RNA, 255 nt
Filed under: uncultured bacterium
Lineage: Bacteria
Description: partial 16S ribosomal RNA
Rfam family: Bacterial small subunit ribosomal RNA
Source: RNAcentral
UACGGAGGGAGCUAGCGUUGUUCGGAAUUACUGGGCGUAAAGCGCACGUAGGCGGCUUUUUAAGUCAGGGGUGAAAUCCCGGGGCUCAACCCCGGAACUGCCCUUGAAACUGGAGAGCUAGAAUCUUGGAGAGGCGAGUGGAAUUCCGAGUGUAGAGGUGAAAUUCGUAGAUAUUCGGAAGAACACCAGUGGCGAAGGCGACUCGCUGGACAAGUAUUGACGCUGAGGUGCGAAAAGCGUGGGGGAGCAAACAGG